GUGAAUCAUCAAAUUUUUGAACGCAAAUUGCACUCUCUGCUGAGAGUAUGCCUGUUUGAGGGUCAGCCUAAAAAAAAUCGACAUAGUUGCUGUUGCGCUGUGAGAUUUUUCGGAAAGUGGGUCAACGUAAACCUUUGGGUUGUAAGCGGCUUAAAAUUUUCUUUACGAUGCCACGAACGUUUCUAAGAUUGUACUUCGUACACGUUGAAGGUAUCGAUCUUUAUUAGACUUUGCCGUUGCAUCUGAUCACGUCCAUAAAUACUUCGUUAACUGACCUCAGACAGUAAAGA
Molecule: unclassified non-coding RNA, 290 nt
Filed under: Glomus sp.
Lineage: Eukaryota; Fungi; Glomeromycota; Glomeromycetes; Glomerales; Glomeraceae
Description: partial contains 5.8S ribosomal RNA and internal transcribed spacer 2
Rfam family: 5.8S ribosomal RNA (bases 1-65)
Source: RNAcentral